CCUACGGGGGGCUGCAGUAAGGAAUAUUGGUCAAUGGACGCAAGUCUGAACCAGCCAUGCCGCGUGAAGGAUGAAGGCCCUCUGGGUUGUAAACUUCUUUUAUUUGGGAAGAAAAAGGGGUUUUCUAUCUCACCUGACGGUACCAGAUGAAUAAGCACCGGCUAACUCCGUGCCAGCAGCCGCGGUAAUACGGAGGGUGCAAGCGUUAUCCGGAUUUACUGGGUUUAAAGGGUGCGUAGGCGGACAUGUAAGUCAGUGGUGAAAUCUCUGGGCUUAACCCGGAAACUGCCAUUGAUACUAUUGGUCUUGAAUGUCGUGGAGGUAAGCGGAAUAUGUCAUGUAGCGGUGAAAUGCUUAGAUAUGACAUAGAACACCUAUUGCGAAGGCAGCUAACUACGCGAAGAUUGACGCUGAGGCACGAAAGCGUGGGGAUCAAACAGGAUUAGAUACCCCUGUAGUC
This 460-nucleotide ribosomal RNA is filed under the name Salmonella enterica subsp. enterica. Its description in RNAcentral is "bacterial SSU rRNA". It matches the Rfam family "Bacterial small subunit ribosomal RNA", at positions 338 to 795 of the family's 1533-position model. The record is from RNAcentral. Lineage: Bacteria; Pseudomonadati; Pseudomonadota; Gammaproteobacteria; Enterobacterales; Enterobacteriaceae.